GGGGCUGUGGCUCAGGGGUAGAGCAGCUGCUUGGCACGCUGAAGGUUCCAGGUUCAAUUCCUGACCUUUCCA
This 72-nucleotide transfer RNA is filed under the name Sphaerodactylus townsendi. RNAcentral describes it as "tRNA-Ala". It matches the Rfam family "tRNA". Rfam says of the family: Transfer RNA (tRNA) molecules are approximately 80 nucleotides in length. Their secondary structure includes four short double-helical elements and three loops (D, anti-codon, and T loops). The record is from RNAcentral. Lineage: Eukaryota; Metazoa; Chordata; Lepidosauria; Squamata; Sphaerodactylidae.